GUUGAACGCUGGCGGCAUGCUUUACACAUGCAAGUCGAACGGUAACAGGUCUUCGGAUGCUGACGAGUGUCGAACGGGGGCGUAAUACAUCGGAACGGGCCUCGUAGUGGGGGAUAACUACUCGCAAGAGUAACUAAUACCGCAUGCGAUCUACGGAUUACAGCCGGGGACCUUCGGGCCUUGUGCUACUCUAGCGGCUGAUGGCAGAUUAGGUAGUUGGUGGGGUAAAGGCUUACCAAGCCUGCGAUCUGUAGCUGGUCUGAGAGGACGACCAGCCACACUGGGACUGAGACACGGCCCAGACUCCUACGGGAGGCAGCAGUGGGGAAUUUUGGACAAUGGGCGAAAGCCUGAUCCAGCAAUGCCGCGUGAAGGAUGAAGGCCCUCGGGUUGUAAAAUGCUUUUGUACGGAACGAACAGCCGUGGGCUAAUAUCCCCGGGUCAUGACGGUACCGAAAGAAUAAGCACCGGCUAACUACGUG
Molecule: ribosomal RNA, 482 nt
Filed under: uncultured bacterium
Lineage: Bacteria
Description: partial 16S ribosomal RNA
Rfam family: Bacterial small subunit ribosomal RNA
Source: RNAcentral